GAUGAACGCUGGCGGCGUGCUUAACACAUGCAAGUCGAACGGUGAAGCAGAGCUUGCUCUGUGGAUCAGUGGCGAACGGGUGAGUAACACGUGAGCAACCUGCCCUGGACUCUGGGAUAAGCGCUGGAAACGGCGUCUAAUACUGGAUACGAGACGUGGCCGCAUGUCAACGUUUGGAAAGAUUUUUUGGUUCAGGAUGGGCUCGCGGCCUAUCAGCUUGUUGGUGAGGUAAUGGCUCACCAAGGCGUCGACGGGUAGCCGGCCUGGAAGGGGGACCGGCCACACUGGGACUGAACCACGGCCCAGACUCCUACGGGAGGCAGCAGUGGGGAAUAUUGCACAAUGGGCGAAAGCCUGAUGCAGCAACGCCGCGUGAGGGAUGACGGCCUUCGGGUUGUAAACCUCUUUUAGCAAGGAAGAAGCGAAAGUGACGGUACUUGCAGAAAAAGCGCCGGCUAACUACGUGCCAGCAGCCGCCGUAA
This 482-nucleotide ribosomal RNA is filed under the name uncultured bacterium. Its description in RNAcentral is "partial 16S ribosomal RNA". It matches the Rfam family "Bacterial small subunit ribosomal RNA", at positions 28 to 523 of the family's 1533-position model. The record is from RNAcentral.